Coffea arabica (coffee) is the source of this 944-nucleotide non-coding RNA. Lineage: Eukaryota; Viridiplantae; Streptophyta; Magnoliopsida; Gentianales; Rubiaceae. The record is from RefSeq and is a predicted model, not a curated record.
AGGCUUGGGGGAAGAAAAAAAGAAAACAGAGCAAAAAGAAAUCAAACGAAAAAAAGAGAGAGGGCUAAGAAAAAACAGAGGAGGCUUUCGGCUGAGAAAAAAAAAACAGAGCAAGGAGAGGAGAAAAAACUAGAGGAGUGGCGGAUAAGGAAGAACAGAGGACGGAUAAGGAAGAACAGAGGAAAAAGAGAGCGAAAGGAAAGGGGGAAAAUCUGGAAAAUUGAGGGAGAGUUACGGGGAGCCAGAGAGUAGACGGAAGAAAAAAUUGGAAAAAAAGGGGGAAGGAAAAAGGGAAAAGCUUCGGCAAAGAAACAGAGCAAAGGAAAACCAAGAAUCAAAGGAAUCAGCAAGGAAUUGUGGCUUGUUGCAGGCUCAUCGAAUCCACCACCAUCACCUGCGCAAUUUCACCAAGCAAGAGCACUCAAACUGUUGACAAAUGAGUUGGGGAAUCACCUGCUUAGCAUUUGGUGCUGAUCAAAAAUAGAUAUUCAGACUUGCUGCAAACUCAGUGUCAUACUUUGGCCACAAAGACCAAUUCCUCAUAUGCUGAAUUCAGAAAAGAGAACUCAUGCUACUGGUAUGAUCGGCUGAUUCCAAUAUUGCUUGGAAAACACGCUAUAGGGAGCCGUGCCCAAUCUGCAAGCGAGAUAGUUCCACCAGAACCAUCUCGUUGUCAAAGGGCCAACACUUCUGCUAGGAGUCGGAAGGAAAAAGCUUCACCCGUGGAUAGCAUGCCCAAUUUUGAUACAUGUAACAUAGGGGUUAGCAAUCAUUUUAAUUAGUUUGUUAGUGUGUAUUUCCCUACCCAACUUUGGUGGAGUGGGUUUUGUCAGGACUGAUUAUAAGGUGAUUUUUUUAUUUAUAGGAAUUUGUAUCUUAGUUAGUUUUGCUUUUCUUACGAAUUUUCAUUACAGGAAAUGCAUAUGCUUUCUGAUGGGCUUUGU